Molecule: RNase P RNA, 333 nt
Filed under: Flavobacterium sp. PL002
Lineage: Bacteria; Pseudomonadati; Bacteroidota; Flavobacteriia; Flavobacteriales; Flavobacteriaceae
Also listed under: 1 other name
Description: Bacterial RNase P class A
Rfam family: Bacterial RNase P class A
About the family: Ribonuclease P (RNase P) is a ubiquitous endoribonuclease, found in archaea, bacteria and eukarya as well as chloroplasts and mitochondria. Its best characterised activity is the generation of mature 5'-ends of tRNAs by cleaving the 5'-leader elements of precursor-tRNAs.
Source: Rfam by way of RNAcentral
GACACAGACCGCCUUAUCGCUGUUUUGCUUCUGAUAGCUAUUGGGACAAAAGAGAGGAAAGUCCGGACACCAUAGAGAAGUAUAGCGGGUAACACCCGUCAGUUCUAAUUUAUUAGGGCUAGGACAAGUGCAACAGAAAGUAUGUACAGGUAAUGCUGUAGUGAAACCAGGUAAACUCUAUACGGUGAAAUAUCAAGUAUAUCAGCAUUUAAGGGCUUCUCGCUCGUUGUUGAAGGGUAGGUAGCUUGAGUCUCAGAGUAAUUUGAGAUCUAGAUAAAUGAUAAGGCUCCAAUUUAUUGGAGACAGAAUCCGGCUUAUAGGUCUGUUUUUUUU